Molecule: ribosomal RNA, 490 nt
Filed under: Burkholderia sp. HPN68
Lineage: Bacteria; Pseudomonadati; Pseudomonadota; Betaproteobacteria; Burkholderiales; Burkholderiaceae
Description: bacterial SSU rRNA
Rfam family: Bacterial small subunit ribosomal RNA
Source: RNAcentral
AGUAGUGAUCCUGGCUCAGAUUGAACGCUGGCGGCAUGCCUUACACAUGCAAGUCGAACGGCAGCACGGGGGCAACCCUGGUGGCGAGUGGCGAACGGGUGAGUAAUACAUCGGAACGUGUCCUGUAGUGGGGGAUAGCCCGGCGAAAGCCGGAUUAAUACCGCAUACGCUCUACGGAGGAAAGGGGGGGAUCUUAGGACCUCUCGCUACAGGGGCGGCCGAUGGCAGAUUAGCUAGUUGGUGGGGUAAAGGCCUACCAAGGCGACGAUCUGUAGCUGGUCUGAGAGGACGACCAGCCACACUGGGACUGAGACACGGCCCAGACUCCUACGGGAGGCAGCAGUGGGGAAUUUUGGACAAUGGGCGCAAGCCUGAUCCAGCAAUGCCGCGUGUGUGAAGAAGGCCUUCGGGUUGUAAAGCACUUUUGUCCGGAAAGAAAACUCUGGGUUAAUACCCCGGGGGGAUGACGGUACCGGAAGAAUAAGCACCG